GGCAACCUCCAAUGCCUAUAAAUACUCUAAUCUUGCACUGCAAAUUCAAUUAUUUCUCUCAAUCAAACCAAUCUGCUAAAGAAAAUCAAUUGGGUUCAAAAAAAAAUGUAGGCAUCUCUUUAAUGUAGGCAUCUCUCUUUGUUGUUUUCUUUAUGGGCUAAGGACGCUUCAAAAGUUUCAUUGGAUUUGUUCAAAGCUUCAAAAGCCUUUAAUGGAGGAUAAUGGGAACGAUGACCCAUUGGGUUCCAAUAUUCCUGUGAAAGUUUGCGGUAAAUAUGACCAUGAGCUUGAUGUUGCAGUUAAAGUUGUUCAGCUUGCAUGUUCACUUUGCCAGAAAGUGCAAGAAAACCUGGUCCAAAACCAGGACAAAGUCAAGGCUAAAGAGGAUAGUUCCCUUGUAACAGUUGCAGAUUGGAGUGUCCAAGCAACUGUUAGCUGGGUUCUCUCAGAGUACUUUGGAAGUGAAAGCAUAUCAAUUGUUGCAGAAGAAGAUGUUCAGGCUCUUACAAGAGUGGAUUCCACUGCUUUACUGGACACUGUGGUCUCCACAGUAAAUGAAUGCCUAUCAGAGGCAAAUGGUUUUGGACUAAAGGGGCCAAAAAAAUCCCUUGGAUCCUCAGAGGUCCUUGAGGCCAUAGGAAGAUGUAAUUCUAAUGGAGGCCCAAAGGGAAGGCAUUGGGUGCUUGACCCAGUUGAUGGAACCCUAGGAUUUGUGAGAGGAGACCAAUAUGCAGUUGCUCUAGCCAUGCUAGAAGAAGGAGAAGUGGUGCUUGGAGUUCUUGGCUGCCCAAAUUAUCCAAUGAAAAAGGAGUGGCUUAAUUACCAUCAUAGUUACUAUAGGAUAAUGUCAAAGUUAAGCUCUCCAACUUUUGAGUCUUGGCAUAAAGGGUGUGUCAUGUAUGCCCAGAGGGGGAGUGAAGCUUGGAUGCAGCCUUUGCUUUGUGAUAACAAGCAAUUUUCGUUUCAGAGCUUGGCAAGGUCGAUUAGGGUGUCAUCAAUUGAUGACCCAGCGCUAGCAACAUUUUGUGAGCCGGUUGAGAAGGCCAAUUCAAGCCAUUCCUUCACUGCUGGACUGGCUCACAGUAUGGGACUAAGGAAACGGCCUUUGCGUGUUUAUAGCAUGGUCAAAUAUGCAGCCAUAGCUCGAGGUGAUGCUGAAAUAUUCAUGAAGUUUGCAAAGGCUGGAUACAAAGAGAAGAUAUGGGACCAUGCUGCCGGGGCUCUUAUAAUUCAAGAGGCUGGUGGUGUGGUAACUGAUGCAGGAGGCCGGCCUUUGGAUUUUUCCAAAGGUAUAUAUUUAGAAGGCCUUGAUCGAGGUAUAAUUGCAUGUUCAGGUGCUGUUCUUCACAAGAAGCUCAUCAAGGCUGUCUAUGAUAGUUGGGACUCCUCUAACUUGUGAACCUUCUCUAUUUCAUCAUUAUUGACAAUGUUGAUCGAGUAGUUUCCAAUCUUUUGGUACUGAUGGACCUAUCUGCCACUCUUAAGGCAAGGCUCUUUUGUAGCUGAACUGGCUAUAUCGGGAAUGUGCUUUUGCUAAAGAAACCUAUAUUCUUUCUGUGGUAAGAUCAUGGUCACUGAUAAUGUUUUUACGGUUCACAAAUGCAUCAAGGAGUAUGGUGCAAAAUAUGAUAUAUAAGUAAUAUCCUUCCAUAAAAAAUAAAAAAAAAAGCCCAAGCCGCUCAGAUGGCUGAAUCUGCCUGUAAUUAAAACUAUAUACAGUAAAUCACAUGAGGAUCUUAAUUUACGCUAUUCUUUUUUUUUCUCA
Amborella trichopoda is the source of this 1765-nucleotide RNA transcript. It is a transcript of the gene named HAL2-like protein, with no coding region annotated. Lineage: Eukaryota; Viridiplantae; Streptophyta; Magnoliopsida; Amborellales; Amborellaceae. The record is from RefSeq and is a predicted model, not a curated record.